Molecule: long non-coding RNA, 30698 nt
Organism: Gallus gallus (chicken)
Lineage: Eukaryota; Metazoa; Chordata; Aves; Galliformes; Phasianidae
Exons: 4
Source: RefSeq, a predicted model, not a curated record
GCUGAAGAUUUCUGCCUACCUGAGGACCUUCUGGGCUAUCUGAAGAUUUUUGCUGCAAGAGAGAAUUGGACUGCCCUAUCAUAGUGAGAGAGUUCUCCAUAGUGCUAGAUCACCUGCCACUGAGCAGCAUACUGGAAGCUUAAAAGAGGUAAUAGCAUCACAUCAGUUUCUUGCUACUGCCAUGCUGAGCAGUAUUUAUACACUGGGAGGUAAAAGUCAUCAAUGAAGCUAAUGUGCUCUGCCCAGAUGGCAUAGACAAUCCGAAGAGAACCCUGGAAAAUGUCAAAGCAAGGAAAACAGAAGUUAAUAUUAACUCCGAGAAGAAAGCAAAAAUAAAAGCUUCAAGGCAGUUCAGUGCACAGCUAUGACACCUAGCGCCCUCCCAGCAUAGCACGGGACUUUAAAAGCAUGCAUUGAUGAAAUAUGAAGGAUCUGUCCAUUGAUGAUGGAACUGGGCAAAUGCCCAGGGCUGACCACCAAGCUUAAACACAAGUGUUGUCCUGAGGACACUGCUCCCCAAAAUGGCUGUAGCAUGUCACUGUCUCUGAUUGAUGAAAGCAGCUAAGUAAGGAGAGUUUGGUGCCUCAUGUUUUAUGCUGUCACCCCAAAGACUGUCCUCUCUGCUGUUUCUCUGUCAUUUUAAAAAAAAAUCAUUAAUUUUAUUUAAUUUUAUUAACUUAAUCCCAUGUAUUUAUUUGUUUCUGUAGCUAAUUAAUCUGAAGGUGCUGGUUAGGAGGAAAGCCCACUUGGGAAAGCUACUGUAACAGGAGUUCCUGCUUUUAGCUGAAACUCUUCGUUUCAAUAAAUUUUUGGUACUGCCUUUUCCUAUCUUCUGGAAACAGAGGUCUGUUCACUUGUGUAUUGUGAGAGCAGCUAAUGGUUUUGUCAUAGGGGAUAGCUGCACAAAACUUGUAAGGCCUUAAUUAGGGGCUGGGAUGAGCAUGGAAAGCAUGCAUGUGAAACCCACUGUUUGCUAAUACGCUGCCUAAUGCUGGGGUUCUUUGAGGAGCUAUGGGAUGAAAGGAGAACCUGUAGGUCAAAUUCUUCAUUGCUGCAGCUUCAUUUUUCUGCAUGUUGACCUUGUUUAAAAAUAGGUUGAGCAAUGCUUAUGCUACCCAUUUGUUUUCUAGAGGACAGACAAGUCAUUCACUUGUGUGUUGCUCAGUGUUUGGAAGCAAAGAACAUGUAAUUGGGGCAGGGUAUUUGUGGCUGGCCUGCACAAAUAGUUUGACUAAUCAGUAACCAGUUGCUGAAAAUAUCACCUGAAAACACAACUGGAGACAGUAGCUGAUGUCUUACCUUGGUAGUUUAUUAACCCAAUACUGAGUCUUAAAUUGAUUUCACAAUUAACUUUCCAGCUGAAAGAUAAAUUGCUGUAAGCCAUAACUGCUAUAAAUGAAUUUCACUAUCUCCCUCAAGGAGUUUCUGAAGGAUUAACUGAAUCAGUUUAAUAACAGAUUGUUGUUAAACUGGGAACUAUUUAGUGUGAACCAGUCCUUGGGGCUGGGAGGUUUUGUGGUGAAUCAGAGGAAGGACUGCCAGCCAGGUCCUGGGGAGGAACCUCAGUUUCUGGUGCUUCUACCUGGAUCUCCUUGGCAAGGAGAGCUGUCUGUGCAUCAGCAGCCAUCAAUUCCUCUGCUGUCACUGGGGAGAUAAAAAAAAAUCUUCCUUAAACCAGAUCAAAAAUGCUACAACCACAAGAGACAAACUGCCAGGACAGUGUAAUUACUUUCUGUCAGUUCCAAUUUCCUGAAAACGUGUCAGUGUAUCACCUGUUUUUCAGUGUGCUGUGGAUCAAUUAUUGUUCAUCUGUUGCACCUGGACUGGAGCUUCUGGAUCUAGCUAUCCUAUAUAGCAUACAAAUUUCAGACUGCACUAAGUCCUUCUGACGUGUUUGUGUGCAUAUGUUUAAGCUGGAUCAGCCUUGCACUGGACACAGGUUCACUAUUAAUGUUUUUUUUAAUCCCAGCCUAAGAAAUAGCAGCCUGGGUGUGUUAUUCUGCUCAGUCCUCUGCUGAGGUCACGUAGGUUGUGCCACACAUAAUGGUGUUGUUUUCUCUGAGAGAUAACUGCAUUUCAAAUAAAGCUUUCUCUCUGUGAUAAGAGAGGAAAACAUGAGCAAAUGUCUUAAGAAGGUGAUAAUGAGAGCACAGGUUGCAAAAUUUGUAAUAUCUUUGGAGGCAAUAGCUCAGAUAAUGUCCCCUUAGGUACCUGAGAGCAUUGCAUUCGCAGUGGCAUCUUGAAUACUGAUGGAAAAAGCAACAGCUAUUUGCUAAGUUGUGCAACUGGAAGUAGUGUGCUGUUUAAUGGGCAUAAAGUCAUCUGCAUGGAACAACCAGUCUGCCCACUGAUUUAAGUUUGGGAGCCUGGAUGUUGUUCGGGACCCAGAUGCUAUCUGCCCAAACUCAGUACUCUGGUGGCACAGUAAAUGUGUCUCACUGGGCUACUGUACCUCAGACUUGCUGAGGAGAUGGUGCUGUAAGAUGCUAGUAAAAAAAACAUGCUAUGAUCAUUAAAUGUCUAGUGAUCUUAUAGGCAUCUAUAUUGCACAGUGAUAAGCACUGUCUGGCACUUAUGGCAGCCCUCUCAACGAGGAGCUCAGUGAUAGGCAUGAAGAUUAAUUUCUGCUGGGUCAAGGAAGGAGUGAGAAGCUGGGCGGUCUGCCCUGAUCCUGUGCUGUGAGAGUUUGGGGGCUUUUUGACUGCUUGUGUUUGGUGGGUUAUUUGUAUUACUUCUUAAAAACAUUGUUCACAGAUCAAUUAAACUUCCCUACCAUUAUCAUAAUUCCAGCCUGCUGGCCUGGUCCUCCCUCCUAAAUUACCAGGUUAGAAGGUGGGCAUCAGUUAGAGGAGUUGGUACAGAGAGUGGGAAGUGGUAUGAGGUGCUCCCAGUUUGCCCUCAGGCAAUUCACUGUGCUGUGUAUGUAUUGCACAGAAAGAGACUGUUCGAAAAAGGCAGCAGACUCCACUAACUCACUACAAUGCUUAUUUGGAGUUUGGAAGCCUCUUAUCUUUUCCUUGAAUUAUGAAAUCUGGAAAAAACAAAGUAAUCCCUGGCUGUAGACCACUGGUAGUGCCUCGUGUUUUAAGUGGAAGUGCCCUAUUCCAAUGGUGAUACUGCGAACUGUGUAACCUUAAGUUACGUUUACUAUUGAGUGGAACACAGAACUCUAAUGACAUCUUUUUAUUUCAAAAAAGCUCUGUGCAUGUGUCACCUGUGUGUUUUGAUAUCAGAUAUCUUCUGCUAGGCAUCUCUGUAAACUAUAAUGAUGCAGAAAGGAGUAAAAUCUGCUAGGACACCAAAUGCGGUGUUGAGUAUGAGUAUUCUGGCUUAACUUGGAUGUGUGUGGCUGUGUAGUGCUUCUAACUACUUGCUGUUCUAAUCUAGAAGAGUUGUUCCUUGCAGGGAAAAUGUUUUGCUACUGCAAGGUUCUUAGUCAUCAAUCACAUGUUGUGGGAUGGCCCACAACUGUAGGAGGAGGGUCGAUAUUUGCGGUCUGCUUGGACCAGACGCAAUAAGGAAAUGUUAAACAUCAUAUCGUCAUCAAGGUUGGAAUAGACCACUAAGAUAACCUAGUCAAAUCAAUAACCCAUCCCCACUGUGCUCACUAGCCAUGUCCUUUGGUGCCACAUCUACACAUUUCUUGAACACCUCCCUGCGCAGCCUUUGUCAGUGUCUCACCCUUCUUUCAGAGAAGGGUUUUUUCCUUGUAUCCAUCCAGAACCUUCCCAGAUGAGAGAGAACUGAAGCAAAAGGACAAGGGUAAGAAUGGGGAGGGAGAUUAGGUGCACUGGUGUAGAAUCAUAGAAUCCUUAAAGUUGGAAGGGACCUCUGAAGGCCAUCUAGUCUGGCUCCCCUGCAGUGAACAGGGACAUGUAUAGCUAGCUCAGGUUGCCCGUUGCCUGAUCCAGGGAUGGGGCAUCAACUGCAUCACUGGGCAGCCUGUUCCAGUGCCUCACUGUGUGGGAAUCAUAGGUUGUUUCUGCAUUAGAACAAGAUAGGGAUUUUUAUUCCAUGGUCUCUGCUGCCAUAGUCUUUUGUGGGGGCCUCUGAUAGUUUUCAUCACUUAUCCUCUAGAUGAACCUUCCCCAGCAAUGCAUACUUAAUACACAGGUGAGGUAAUUUAUAAUCACAGAGGUUAGGUAGAUGGAAUAGGUUAUAGGCAAAAAGACUGCAGCUCCUGUCUGUCCAGCCUUUAGAAAUAUGUCUGAGCCUUAUUAAUAUUUGGUACUGGACAGACAAGACCUGAGUAAUAGAGAAUUUAAGGAGGAGAAGUUUAAAAAAUAGCAAUAUACAUGUGUAGCUACCAACAACUUAUGUCCAGUCAGCAUGAAUAUAUGUAAUAUUUAAAUGAAGUCAUACACAUUGCAAGAAUAUCCUGCAUGAGAUUGAUCAAACCAGAGAACAAGUCAUGACAUGCCCAAGGAAGUGCUUGAAGAGGCAUUAGGAAGACCUGGCAUCUUCCCCCCUUAGCGCUCUUUGUUAAACAAAGGAAGCAGCCUUUGGGCAGAAUGGAAGAAGCCUUGGAGAGAAUCACCAGAUCAAUGUGAUAAGGAGAGCACUGAGACAUCUUGGAAACAGCAGGAUGGUGACUGACUGGCACAAGAUGGUGCAUGAAUCAGCAAGUGUCAGAAUGUAAUUAACAAAUGUAAGUCUUUGGUAGGAGCCUGGAGUACCCAGCCAAUGGGAAAAUGGGAGGGGGUAGGCAUGGGAGAGGACAAGGUAGAAAAGCUGCACUAUUGCAUCCAUAGGCACGCUCCUGCUUGUAGGAUGCUUGCCAUUGCAAUUGCGAAUACAAUCUGCUUUUACCAGAGAUACUGUCCUGACAAAACUAUUUGGAUAUUUUCAACAACUGCAGAAGACCCAACCUAAAUAUACCCUCUUUGAGCUUGAAGUCAUUUCCCUUUGUUCUAUCACCACAGACUCAGCUAAGGAGUCUGUCCCCUUCUUUCCUAUAACAUUCCUUAAGAUACUGAAAGGCUGCUGUCAGGUCACCUGCAGUCACAUGUGCUGUAUGAAUGAUCUCCUUGAUCCUUUUGGCUAAUCUUAUUGCUCCUGUGAUGACUCAGGGGUUAGGAAUGAGGGUGUAACACAGGGCUGGCAAGCACUUGUCUGCUUUGGUGAUCUGAAAAUACAUCUGGGAGGAAAGAUGUACCCCUGUUCUUAGUCCUUUAUGCCAGCUUCUGAUCCAAAUAGCCUUAAUGAGGAUAGGAGCUGGGUGUCCUCAGCAAGUUCCACCAAGUAAGGGAAGCAGCAAAUGAGAAGAAACAACAGCACUGACAUCGGUGAUCCAAAAGAUAAUUCAAAUGACAGUGAUUUUUCAGGGAGUUCUCACUUUCAUGUUUUGAGGAUUUCUUCCAGUGCCAUCUUUCAUGGAACAAAGUAUCUUGGGUAAAGAGGAUAGUUCUCUUGGCAGGUGCUGUAAAUCAUUUAAGAAUGAUACUUCAUACAGAACCUCUCCUUGCAGGAUGCAGUGAAUGUGCCAUAGUGCAGGUGUUGUGAAUAAAGUAUAACAACCAUCACACUGAUGGGGGAAUAACAGUUAACUCAGUGCCACACAAAGCUUCUCCAUCACAGCUAGGAAUGAAGUAUGUAUUCCUUGAACAACUAGGAAUAAAUUGUGUAUUCUUUGGCUCCCAAAACAAGUCUUUUCUUGGAGAAGAAUUCUUUUAAUAGUAGUGAUAUUGACUAACAUCCUUGUACUCUAGUGUGGUCUGCCUAGUAUUGAUAGUUUGCCUCAACUCAUGAAAUGUAUAGCUUGGAUGCCUUUUACUGAUAUCAUUUUCAUUAUUAGUCUGCCUUUUCCCAACUUCCAUUCCUAUCACACUGAGUUUUUGAGGUUUUUAUAGGAGGAAAUGUAGUCUGUCCUAGAAAGAAAAAGAAACGAGGGAAAUCUAAACUCCCCUGCUGCAUAUCAUUUGAACUUCCCACCCUGUGCUUAAGUAUGAUGGUCAUUGUAAAGAAAGAAAUCUCUCCAUCUUCUCCUGGAACUUUUUAGUAAUUUCAAGGACAGAAUAAGGCUAAAGCAUUUUAUUUUGCAUCUUUUGUGCAGCCAUUUAUAGCUGUGUAAAAGAACAAACAAACACUUAUAUCUCACUCCAAUAACACUUAGCUUGCCCUGGUAAAAAUGGCUGCACAAGGGGUAGAGAGAUACAGGAGGAAAAAGCAAUCCUUUUCACUUCUGGAUGGCAGCAUCUAUGAGUGUGGAAGACUGAAUGUGACAGUGCUGAGUCCCAUCAAAAGGGGAACUCCAGGAUGUGGCUGCCCUGUUUCAGCAAAUACCAGUCUCCUUUGUUGCAAGACUUUCUGCAUGCAUCAUCAGUCACUUGACAUUCUGCGAACCCUGGAAACACAGAAACAGCAGCAUCAAUGCUAAUUUGUUUAUCUGUUUUAAGGAACUCGUUUACAGUUUGACUUUAGUCACGUUGCUUCCCAAAUUAACUUUCAAGUGCCUGACUGAGCCCAGGGUCACUGGAGGGCAGCCAGCCUGUCCAUGGCCUUUACCAUUAUUCUUCCUUAUUCCCCAUUCUAAUGACUAAGCUUACCCACAUUUGUAGUGCUCAUGACCUCCCUGGGCUUUCUAACCAUUAUUCAUAAUUGUGAUUCAUUGGCUGUCACCAAGGCCGAUGCUUGUGGUGCAUGGGGACAGCCAAGCUGCUUGAGCUGUAGGUUUAAUCCAGUAGAUGGAGCAGCUGCCUGACACUGUGGAGAUGCCCUGUGGCUCUUUCUCCUGCGGUGUGAUCCGGUGGUGUAGGGUAGCUAGUAGUUAUUAACUGAAAUGUGGGCACUAUUUGUUAGCAUCCACAAGCAAGAGUGAAAUCUCUGCUCUGCUGAAUGCUCUGAGAUUUGAUUUCUUCCUUCUCUUGUGUGAUCCCAUUAAAAAAAUCCUCCAAUCUUUAUAGAGUUUGUUGUUAGCCUUUUAGAGCUGGCAAGUCAGAAUGGGAUCUCUGUUACGGAUGGUGUAAAUCUGGGAUAUCAUCUGAUGUUGGUUUGAUGGAUGGAGACUGAUCUGAGAUCCAGCCCAUCCUGGGGUGUCAGAGCAGCAGGCAGUGCCUGCAUGUCUUCUAUAAUUAUCAGUGACUGUAGUCUAAGAUGGCCCGGCACACCUCGUAGAGUCCAGGAUUUCCAGCUAAUAGCUGUGAUGCACCCCUUAUGUGUAAACUGUUCUACUUUGUCCUGUGGGAAUGGAGUGCAAGGUAAACUUUCCACUCACAAAGCUUUGUAUGCUAUUACAGUGCUUUCUCUAUUCCCUCCCAGAUCAAUUUUCUCUUCUGUUCUUUGUUAACCUUCUUAAAUAGUGCCCCUGUGCUGCUGACAGUGAAGUGCUACUAAAUUGUGAUGUGGUUUAGAGAUGACAAUUUCAAACAAACUAUGUAUGAUAGGCCCUCAUCCUAAUACUACUUAAAUGUGUAGCUUGGGAGGCAAGAAAGGUAGGUAAUUAUGUCGUUUAUAUCUUGAUGUGAACCCAUAUCUAUGAAUGCAAAACCCAUGGCUGCCUUGAACACAGGAGCUAUUGUUUGCAGUAUCAGUGCUACCCCAGGCAGGUGGAGCUCAGCCUCACAACAAAACAACCAUCACAACAUCUUUGCAUGUUCUCAAGCCCCACUUGAGGAGUCCAAACAGAGCUCAUGAAGGUUCUGGUGUUACUAAGGCAGCACAGUGCCUCCCUUCACAGGGUCAAACUUGUGUUGCCCACUGAGCUCUCGCCCACUUGCACUAUUUAGAGCUGUUCCGUGAUCAUGUAGAGAUGCUGCCAUGAUGACAACAGCAUGUAGAGACAACUUUAUUGGUUUUUUUAAUAUUGGCCAGAGCCUCUGGGAAGUUCUCUUUCUGUCAGUUUGGCUCAUUUCACUAGCAGAUCAGAGAUAAGGCCUACCAGCAGAACCAUUCUGUUGCUGCUUUGUUGCCAUGAGUCAGGAAACAGUGUGGGCAUGACUGAUCCUCUGCCCAAGGUGGCACUGCAGGAAUUUGGGCCAGUGGCAUUAAACAGAGUACUACCUGGACUGCUGACACUUUUGCCAGAUUGGACCAAGCUUUCUUGUGGAUCUGGAGGUGCUGUCUCUUUGCUCUUGCAUCGAGCAGAGCUCUGCUUCCAGGGAAUCUGGCCCACUGUGAUUAAUUCUUCAGUUGAAGCCUAGGUGCCAUUGCUUUAAUUUCUUUCUUCUAAGAUAUCAUCUUGUGUUGCAGUAUUAAAUAUCUAAACCCCUCAGGGAUUCCUUAAGCAAUAAGUGAUACAGGAUGUAGUCUGAGAGCUGGGAAAGAGAACUUACUGACAAGACACAGAGAGCAGUGUUUGGUGGAGACCCAGCUUCUAUUUUGCUUUCCUGAACACUGGACUAAUUUAUGUCUAAAGGAUACAUGCUCCCUUCUCAUUUUCUGCCUUUGGCUCUUGUAUCUAUACCUUCUCUUGGCUGGCCGUAUUAGAAAGAUCACGAUCUCCUUUUAAAUUCUUAUUUUCAAACCUCUUUUUGGCCUUUGUAUGAUAUUAAUGACUUGGAAAUAUAACACUGAAGGCUAUAUUCAAGUCAGAUGUAAUUCCUUAGAUAUGUAGCUUCCCAUUAUUUUGGUAAUAUUAAAUAAAAUAAAUAGUAUUUGCAUAGUAGAAACAAUAAUUUCUUGGAUUUCUAAUUAUCUGCCUUUCAUACACUUCAGAAAGAGAAAUUAUCUGUGGUGGGUAAAUCAGUGGUGUUCCCCUGUGGUCUUUUAGAAGUUCAGCGUGAACACCGUGACAGCACAGGUAGUACUAGAAAUAAGCCUGCAUUUUUUUUAUCAACUAUUGUCUAAAAUGUAGAGUCGAAUUGAAUCCAGUGGUUCCUUGACUGGGAUAAAGCAAGACUGGCUUCUUCCCAGCUGGAGGCUGCACUGCCUCCUCACAUCCCUAUUCAGUGCUCUGCCCUGACUGACUGAGGUGCCAAUUAGUGCAGCUGCCCUUUGAUGUUAGGGAAACUUGUCUGGGGUGAACCAAAUGGAGAUUAAAUUGCCAUCAGAAGAUAAUGAUCACUUAGCUGAGCCAAUUGACUCCUGCAAAAAUGGUGCUUGCAAGAUUGUGUCCUUAACCAGACAUGCAUAUCUCUCCUAAUCUUUCUGUGUGGGUUUCCUCUUAAAAAUACUUUCCAAUUUGACUUCUGUCAAGGUAAGAAACCUGAAUUUUCUUGGGGCGUUAACAGCAAUACCUAGCCUCCCUAUCUCCCUACUGAAGCUUGCGCCAUUAAAAUCAGCCUCUGCAAGAUGCAGAGUGCUGAUGCCCAAGAGAAACAGUGAAACCUUUCCCCAGCUGACGAGCCCUGACAAGCUCUGGCACUUCAUACUGCUGUUUUCCUGGCCCUGUGACAGGGUAAGCGGAUACCCCAGUGUGUGUUCCUGGGCCAUGUGCCUGCCAAGCUGGAGAGCAACUGCUUCAGAGAAGUUUGAGCAGGUAGAACAGAUCCCUUUCCUCCCAGGCUGUGUCCUGGCAGAGCAAACUAACUUAUGAGAGGGUCAGAUUGGGAAUUCCUUUGGAAUGAGAAACAUACCCUACAGCAUUUCCACCAAGAUGAAUGCUAGAUUUGCAGCGUAUACACAAGUGAACUAAUUUUCAUCUUGUUUUUCUUAUCUCUGAAAAUCUUGACAUGUAUCUGCCUGUGUACUGACUCAGCUCACUGGUGAAAAGGCAUUUCUGAGGCACUGGUCUUUGUCAGCUGAUAUGUCCCUGCUUACCCUGCUAUACCUUGUCCUUCUACCUGGCAACAUUGGUAUGGAGGACCCAAGCUCAAGGUCAGACAGGGAUGGAAGAGGAGGGAAGCUGCAAAGAUCUCUAAGAGGGUGAGGAACUGUGGGCAUGGAGAGAUGCUACCAAAAUCUAAUUUUAGCUUGAAGCGUUCAUUUCCACGAAAGCAAACAAGCAAAUCUGGAAUCAGAACAUUAAAUCAGCUUGGCUUUUUGUGACUUCUUUCUCUUCCUUCUUUAAAAUGCUUUUUCUUGGGAAGCCUUUGAGUAUUUAACAUUAUCUCAAACCCAGAAUUAAUUCUGGGAACUCUAAAGCAUCUGGGGAGUACAUAUCACUGUAAUUAUAAGUUGUUUCCCUUUUUAUUUAACAGAAGGGGGAAAAAAAAAGAUAGAACCACUUCAACUUAGUAUAAAGGAUUUCCACAGCAGAAGUUGCGGUCGGGGUUUUAAAACAAAUGUUUUUGUGAAGUCUAAGCCAUGACCUCUGUCUUUAGAAACACCAGACCAAGAAUUUGGUUAUGGUAACCAGAAAGAUGCAUGGAAAUGUCAGUGAGUUGAACUGUGCAAUGAUUUCGUUCCGGUGCUGUCCUACUGGCUUUACUGGAGCUGCUCCAUCACGGCAAAAUUUCUGACUGCUCAUAGUUUUUUUUUUCUAUUUUCAGCAGUGGAAUUGUUUCACAAACCUGGUGAAAGUUAUGGAUUGGAAAGAGAUCUACCCUGGUGAGAUUUGUGCCAUUGUGUCAGGAAGCCUCUUGUCCAAUCUGGUGCAAAACCUGAGCAAGUUCUGGGGCAGUUUGAGGUUCAGCAGCAAAGAUCAUCCGUUCCUCUGCUCAGGACAGGAUCAGAAAUUGUGUUGACCCUGACAGACACACAAAGGAGAGCAGGGUUUGGCAAAUACUGGUCUCUACCUGUAAUACUACCGGUCUUCUAAAGUGCUUGGAGAUAGAUGCAUUCUAGAAGUCAGCCUACAUAGCGCAGCCAGUAUUUGCGGUGCUCCUUGCUUUAGGCUUUGUGUUUGGUAGGUGCUUCGACUUGGCCCGUGGGCUGAACUUUCUGCUGUGCUAGACCCUGAUGGAUGGAGAGAAGCUGAGGUAGGCACUGAACAGAUAUCAGCUGGGUCCUCUCCAGGGCUCUGCUGACCUCCAGGUUACCUUGUCUUAGAUUUAAAAGGUCCCCCUUCCUUAUGUGAUGAGCAGCGUAUGUCUGGGUGCAAAGCCCUCCACUAAAUCCACUGCUCCAAACGCUCACAGAUAAGUAGAACUCUUAGAGAUAAUCUCAUCCUCUGUAAAAUUUGGCUGACUUUAAUGCAGGUGCUAUUUUGAAGGUUUGAUAGAAAAUGCAUCCGCAGUCAAAUAAUUUGAAAGUAAUCUUUUGGUUUAGGGGAAAAAUGCUAAUGGAAAUCAGCCGAGGGGAACAUCCGGAAGCAUGCCCCGCUUCUGAAAGAAACAUUUAAGUCUACUGCUGAAUCUUGAAGACUAUAUUAUCCUGAUAGCAUUAUAGGGAAGUAAUGGUCCUCAGAUGUGUGUACGCUCUAUCGCAUUAGAAAUUGCUUUUUUUUUUUUUUUUGAAUGCAAAUAGGUUUGUGUAUAGCCUAGCUAUAAGCUGCUGCUUUAAAUUUUCCGUUGCUUUAUGGGAAGCUGAAAAUUAGAUAAGCGAGCCUGGCUUUAUAUGAGGGCUCUGCCAAAAGUAGUGCCUCCUAUUUUAUUAUGGUGGCUCAUGACGUCAGAGGCAGAUGUUGGUGGUAUGGCAAUAGAAGUUGAGCCUUCCUACCAAUAUUCCCUUACAUGUUGUUGCUGUGUGACAAAUGGAAGCAGAGGGGCUGUCUGACAAACCGGUGUCUGAUGUGGAAGUGUAAAUGAAACAGAGGUGUGUCGCUGAAUUCCUCCAUGUGGAAAAAAUUGCAUCCACUGACAUUCAUGGACACUUGCUGAACAUUUCUGGAGACCAAACAGUGGAUGUGUGCACAGCAAGGUGGUGGGUGGUGCUUUCAGCACUCGCAAGAGUGAUAUUAAAGACAAUCUAUGUUCCAAAUGGCCAUGCAUGGCUGUUACACCAUGCAGUGAAGAGUGUCUUGAUCAGCUCAUCCAUGUGAAUCAGUGAUUUAUGUAAUUUAUGAUAAGGGAACUGUGUAUGCAGUUGGAAAGCAGCUUCAGUGCAUUGGAAAUGAUAGUAGCAAUUUUGGAACAUCACAAAGUUUUCUGUGAGUCCCACAGAUGCACGCACGGGAACAGGAAGAACACCAUAUGCAAGUCUGUCACGACCUAUCAAGCCAGUAUGAGGCUGAAGGUGACAGUUUCUUGGAUCACACAAUUACUGGAGAUGAGAUGUGGUAUCCCUGCUAUGAACCAGAGGCAAAACGGCAGUCUACGGAGUGGUUACAUGUGGAUUCCUCAUCGAAAACAAAGCUGAAGAAACAGCUCUCAGCAGGUAAAGUGUGAUACACAUCGUCUUUUGGGAUAGGAAAAUAGUGAUCCUUCUGGAACCUAGACAAACCAUCAACUGUGACUGAUGCAUUGUGACACUAACUAAGCUGUAGGCUCCAACUUCCAGAGUCAGGCCAGAGGAGAAGAUAGCCUUUCUCUUGCAACACAAUAACGCCAGGCCCCAUUGCAGCGUGAAGACUGCGGAGCACAUCGCCAACGUUGGCCAGACUGUCCUACCACACCCACUUACAGUUUGGAUUUGGUGCUUUCUGACUUCCAUCUGCUUAGGCUGUGUGGGCAACAUUUUCCUGGCAAGGAUGCCAUCAUAGCAGCUGUGAAGCAAUGGGUAAUUUCUGCUGGUGCAGAUUUUUACAGGCGCUGCAUGCAGGCUCUUCACUGACAAAAACGCAGAGCUAAUGGUAGUGACUAUGUUGAGAAAUAAUGUUUUGUAGCAGAAAAUUUUCUCUAUCAAUCAAGUAGUGUAGUUGUACUCUUUGUUGUAGUUUCCACGGAAAUAAGCAGGAGGUAUUACUUCUGGAACAACUUGUGUAGCUCACAAAAAAGCUCCUGACUUCCCUAUGCUCUAAUGAACUCUUAAGUACCUGGAUCAAUUUUGCUGUACUAAUAACUUCUGAAAUAGCUUGGUUUUAUUUUGCUGCGUUAGAAGCACCUUGCUCUGAUGUGGAACUCAGAUGCUUUAAUUUCCUGGAGCGCCUUAAAGAGAUACGGGCAAUUUGGACUGUAAAGAUGUGUGUAUGAUUAAGUGUGUCACCAGCAUUCUAGGAGUGGUUGAAUAUUUGCUGCUCUAUUAGGUCCUGUGAGAAAUGAAAUUAUACAAACCUUAACUAUGCUACCUUCUGCAUAAAUAAAUCAAAUUAGAUAAUAAGGUGUUGCGAUGUCCAAAAACCAAUCAAUAGCAUUUAUCACUUACUCUGUGCUCUAGAAUUCUUUUCCAGAGCUUUUGGUACAUCAACUACUUCGCAAUUUGCUUCUACAAUGUACUGAUGAAUCCCAGCUGGUACUCCCGACCAUUUCUUCCUUUAUUCCUUUCUUUACUGUAGUGACAAUAAUUAUAGUGAUUGGGUGACAAUUUUGUCUCCUGGUCAAAAUAAAAGCAUCCUUUUUUUUUCUCUUAAGAUUAAUUAAGGUUAAGAUGUGCACGUCUUUUUGAGAGAUUGGCUGCUUGUGUUGGGUUUGUUUAUGAAGUUUUGGAUUUUUUCAAUUAAGAAAGAACUAUGUCCAUUGCAAAUGGGUAUGGCUAUGGCUUGUAGAACGAUCAUGAAAGCUACUGGUUCAAAGAAAGGGAGAAAGCAAGAGCUUUGUGAUGCACCAAACUGCGUGGGUUAGCAUUGUGCAUAGUCUUCCCCUGGAGCACAAUGCUGAGAUGCUGGAAGCAGGUCAGGAAUGAGGAUUACAAAGCCUAGGUGUCAUUACUGCCUUGGUUAUCAAGGAAGCCUCUUGUGCAGGAUCUGCUACUUUUGGACUCAGCCUAGCUUGAAGUCAAGGCUGCAAAGAAAGCCUACAAGUUGCUGGAUGUGCAGCAACGUUGUGAUAAGCUUUGCUCCUUGUUUGCUGGGUUGGUCCCAAGACAAGAAGUCAUGCUACACAUGGUUUAUAGGGAUUCUUGCAGGCAGUUAUGGGGGUUGGAAUACGCUGUACUCUCUAUGGACACUUUUUUUUCUGGAAAUUAUUGUUGGCCUUUUAAAGUAUUAUGAAAUCGAUUAAUGGAACAAGUUGUGGGGAGGGGCAUUUGCCUAGGUAAACUUUUGCUGAGAAAGAGCAUGAAUAUACUUCUCUGGUGUUUAACUGAGUAAAAAUCAUCCCGAAUCUCAGCAUAAUGGGUGCUAGUGAAAUUAUUGGCGUCUGACAAGAGAAUGCAAUAAGCCUGCUUGCUUGUUAGCUUUUAUCACUUUCCCCCGUCAUAGGCUUGUAUGUAUGGCAUUUACUUAUUUAUGCCAGGUGAUCUAUGUGAACAAGAGCUGGCAGGAGCUACUCAAUAAUGGAUGAAACACUGCAGUUCUGCUGGUGGCAAGCUCGACAGUGCAGAGGGGUGCUGAGGGGGCUUGCUGCUCCUGUAGCUGAGCUGUUUGCUCAAAUGCUUUGCCUGGCAAUAGCCAGAAACUUCCAGCAGUCCUGAGGUGCCUCAGUGAAGAAUGUUUUUCUGCAGAAUACAUCCUGACAUCUUACCUCACAGUCUGUUUCAUUUUCUAGCUGGUUGCUCCCAUGUCUAAUGAAGAGCCUGACUAGCGCUGGCCUAGGGGAACAGCACUCCCAUCUUUUUGCUACCUUUUGCAGCACUUCCAGAACUGCAUCCUGGGCUUUUAUCAUUAAGGGCUUUUAUCAUUGAGUUGGAAAAGACCUCUAAGAUCACCUAGUCCACCACCAACCCACCCCCACUAUGUGCACUAACCAUGUCCCUCAGUGCCACAUCUAUGCAUUUCUUGAACACCUCCAGGAAUACGCUUCACUAGAAAAGAAAGCAAAAUGUAUGAAAUUUGGGUAAUAACCUGGUAGACUGACUAUUCUCUGAACACAAUGGUGGGAGUAGGUCACUGAAAAGCUUCUGCCCUUAUCGUGCCUUAAUCAUAGAUCUUGGUUUCCAGGAUGCUUGGAGGCUUUAUUUUUGAUGGUUCAAAGAUUACAGUGACAAAUAUGAGAACAGAGUCAUUAGCAUAAUAAAUACCUAAGACAGGCAUAGAUCUAGCUGUAGGAAACCUUCCUGUAUUUGGCCUCUGGGAUCCAUUGCAGUGGGUGUCUAUAAAAAGUAAGCAUUGACGUCUGGUGCAGGUUACCUGCCUGUACAUCUGAAACACUAAUCCUGCUGGUUUUGCAGCAAAAUGGGGCCAGGCAGGCUCAGCUUGGGCAGCACAUUUUGUUAUAUGCUCUGGAGGAUGCUGAGCUCUUCCUUGCUAAUCAUCUGUCUAUUAAAGUCAGCUAAUAGCAAAGGUCUGAUUACAGUUCAGUGACUUGUUCACAAAGCGAUUAAUUAUUAUCUCCACUAAGUGAGGAACUUCCUCCUACAGCACAGCUGAUGAAAUAGGUAUUUAUAACCUCAUUUGUAGGAGGGGAAGGAGUUGGUUGAGCUACAGUAGCCUGGUUAAAAACACCUGACCACUUGAUCCCACAGUUAUGGUUAGGGACUCGUUCCGCUUCCUUUUAUCUGGGCAGGGUUUGACCUCAGUAGAACCUCGCUAUCUUCACCUCUCUGAUAGCUGUGGGAGGGUGCUGGCUGGCUCAUAAGCCUGUGUUUUGCUGCUCUGCUCCGAGAGGUGAUCGCUCUUUAUUCCUACCCUGUAACACCGUGGCUCAAUGCCUGUAUGGCACAGGAAAGGCUGAAGAGGAAGCAGAGAAACCAGAGCAUGGUGGAACUCCUGGGGUACAAGCCAGCAACGUUUGCUGUUUACGAGCUCCUUUCCAGCAGCACUAAUCCACCACCACUGGGGAUAUCCUACUAAUUUUAGUAUAGUAGUAGCAGAGGAACAGCUACCUUGCCUCAACUGAAGGAAUCUGCUAAUAUUUGAGGAUGGUGGGUGUUUGAAAGCAUGCCAGCAAGGUUAUGCAGCAAGUGUGCCUUUGGGCAGCGUGAUUAGAUUGCAUCCCAAUGAGUUUGUUGCUAAUUCCAUCCCAGUUUGCUCUACUGCUGUGAGCUGCUGGAGAUAUCUCUGCUGGCUCCCUCGCUUUUGCAUACAAAGGCAUCUUUGAGUGUGUGUAACAGUGUCAUUGUUUUCUUUUUUCUUUUUUUAUCUUUCACUCCCAAACGGCUAUGAACAGACGGCUUUUUCCUCUGUGCAGCUUUGUACAGAUAUUACAGUAGGGAAAGCAGCCAGGGAGCUGUGGGGGAGAGAAUUAACACUUUGUUCCUCUUCUGGGGACUAGUGAGCAGAUACAGGGGUUACUUGGCUCUGGGAGGACUGUGCCCCCCUGCUCCUGGGCUGGGAUGCAGCUCUGCUUUGCUUAAAAACAGCUGAGGGAUGGCAUGGGUUGAGGUGGCCCAACAGCGUGGGAUUUUGGAAAGCCUUUGUGUAGAAUGAAGCAUGAAGGCUGACACCAAGGGACUAGGGAAGGUAUCUGUCCCCUGCAGACCCUUGGUGGCACCUUCCUGACGCAGCGGCAAUGGCUCAGAGAGGGAAUUGGGCAGGGAUGGCAGAGAGCCUGCAUGAGCCAAGGGGCUUCCCUGUCUGCAGAAGGGAUUGCACAAAGGCAUAGGCAAAUGAUGUUUGGCCUGGUGAUUAAACUUGAAAGAUCAGCUUCCUCAGGCCUCUCAGAGGCUCUCCUUUGGGCUGCAAAUACAUACUUUUUCUGCCUGUUCUCUGACACAGCAGACUUUUGAAUUUUCAGUAUCUUGUAUACAAGACAAAACUAAUUAAAAGGUGCAGGGAAUAAAGCCUGCCCUCUGGUCGCUCUCUCCUAUGCUAUUUACACAUCACCCUCUAUGCCUCCAGGUACUGCCCAUCCUUCCACAAACAGCAGCCCUGGGCCAGGAGGUUACCAGCACUCAAGUUCCCUCUGAUAGGAAUUCCAGCAAAUACCUUUAAGCAAAUAUUUAGCAAAUAUGUAGAGCUACCAUUAAGAACAAGGAAGUCUCCUAUGAAGUUUCAGUAAUACCUGGUCCUUUGUGAGGUGAGGGUGGGGUUUGGGGGUAUAAGUGUGUCACUCCCCUUGCACAAACUCUUUGCUUUCAGUCAAUGCAUUUUUCAGCUGUAUCCCACCCUGUGCAGCUUCCUUCCACCUUUAAAAUAGCUGUGCUUGCCUUUAAUUUACAAUGGAAAUUUGUAUGACACAUGCUAGGAUGCCUUUGACACGGUGCAGUCUUCACCUGCCUUGACCCAAAGACAAGGAAGAGCACUUUGGCUUGUUUGAUCCCUUCAGUUUUUGCUUCUUCAAUCUGGGUUUCUCAGUUACUGAAAACAAUGGCUUUUAACAGGGACUGGGGAAUCCCAUUUCUGAGUGUAAAGCUACUUUUAUUUAUAUUUAAAUAUAUUUUUGAGUUUAUAUUUUUGUACUUUUUUGUGUGUGUUUCUGUUUAUGCUUGUGCUUUUCCUUUGUCCUCAACUACUUGAUCUUCCCGGUAGGCACCACGCCACACAUACAGCAAGAGGUUGUUUCCAAUGCCCAGCUGCAGGCUUGUAAUGAGGCAUUUAGUGGGGACUUUCCUCUGUGGACUCCUUCCAGGCCCGCCCUAGCUUUUUCUCCCUAACCUUGUCUGCUCCUCUGCAGCAUUUGUUUUUUUAUCUUUGGCAUACGCAGUCAUUGUUCACUAAUAAAAAGUGAUCUGACGAGAAAAGCUGGAUCUGUUCCAUCUGGUCAGGUGCUUUUUUAUCCUGCUUGGAAGUGAGAGGAGAGAGGACAAACCGACCCCUCUAACUCUGUUUCUGGAACAGGUUUCUGGAUACCUACGGCAGUUCUUUUGCCUUCAGUAUGCUGACAGUCAUUGCUAGAGGAGCAAAAUGCCUUAUCAGCCCCUCUCCAAGCUGCUCAGAGCGGAGCGAUGAGGCCAGCUGCAGGCAGCUGCCCAUCUGGGUGGUGAUAAAAGGCACGAAAGGCUGCAUCAUCACUGCUCGUGCCAUGCUGCAGAGGACCAUUACUCUUUGCCUGUGAACGAUGAAAACAAAGAGCACUGGAAAUGCUAUUUCUGAAGUCACGGGAGAAACUGUGAUGUCUUUUCUAAAAUACCUCUGCCCUGUCGAUAAACAAUGAGACUUUUCCAAAGCUGUAAAUACAAUUUAAAAGUUUUCAACCCCCCAGCCUGAAAAUGUUGAGGGAAAGGUGGGGUCGGUUUGGCAGAUGGCUGUCAAGCUCUUCCUUCACUUUCUGGAAGAAGCUGGGGCUGUCCCAAGGAGGCUCACACAAUCACGGUUAGUCAGCCCAUGUGGUCAUGGUGUUCUAGAGGCUCUGUUUACUCUUGGUAUGAAAGGGGAAAGUCCAGUGUCGGUAAAUCUGGAAGCACGAAUGCAUGCCUUAAACAUUUGUACUUGUUUUUUUUUUUUUAUGAUUAUUAUUCCUGGUUUUGGCUUUAUCAGUGACACAAAAAUUAGGGUGGACUCCUCUAUUUAAUAUCACUUAAUGUUAAAGUGAAAAGAUCAAUGCAAGAUAGAACUCAAUUUCAAAAAUAUCUUAUUUUCCACUCCCUUGCCCCUACAUAUGCACUCACUUCUACUCUUUAAAAGCGUAGGGCCACUUUUUAGCAGGUCUGACUAUUUGCAUGAGGGUGAUAUCUCAAACAGGCUCAGGGCUUGAAAAAAGCAUGGGAGCUUACAGUUGUUCUCAUUGAAAUCAUCUGUUUAUUUUCCACGUGGCUUGUUGUCCUCAUAGAAGCGUGUAUGUUUCAUGUCCUUGUUUACCCAAGCUACACAUCUUGUACCGUGAACCAGGCUUGGGCCAUGAGAGGCCCUGAGGGCCUGAGCCAAGGGUUGACCCUGUAACCUGAGUGCUGGAUCCAAGGGGAAGGUGCUAAGAGGAUUAGGCUGCCUUUAAAAUAGAGCUUUUUGACUGUCUGUCUUCCGGAUGCAGUUGUUCUGAGCACAUCCUGAGUCGAGGUUGAUGUUGCGGAAGCUUGGCUAUUAAUUUCCUGGCAAAAUGACUCUGAACCCCCUCAUGUUACAAGGUUUUGGAAGCAUUGCUUCAUCAUGUCUGGUGGCUCCAAGCCGAAGCCUUGUUGCAGACUGGAUGAGCCUGGGCAUCUUGGAGGCCCAGAGAUGUGCUAAGCAGGUUAUCAGCUCCGGGGUUUUUCAGUAGUGUUAAGGCCUUAACGGUAAAAAAAAAUAAAAUAAAUGAAUGCGUAGAGCUCCUAAAUGCUCCAGUUUUAACAAUUCACUGAUACUGUGUGGGAUACUGACCACUGAACACUGCAUCUCCUAGGUUUAACUUUAUUCUGUGGAACAGUGCAUGUGUGGGUGUCAGGAGAGUGGCUCAUGGUGCAGUGUUUCUCCACUUGUGGCCUGUGAAACCUUAGAGCUUGGAUGUGCGAGUGAAGGGGAAAGAAAAUCAGAGCCAGCAAAUCUAGUUGGAGAAGUACGGGGGUAAGGGAGAAGCAAUAAAUGAGCAUUAAGAUUAAUGUAAGUUUUAUAUGGAUGUUAAUGAAAGGUAUGGGAUCUUACUGUAACGUUUUGGUGAGGUUUUUGUUUUUUUUUUCCAAAAGCUUAAAUAGUUUUUCCAUUUCAAAAAUGAAAAGAGAAAAAAAAAGUUAGGAAAUGCUGACCUAAUGCUAGGUUUGAUCUAUGAAUAAGGUCUUAGUAAACUUUCCAACCCGUGAGCAAAGGCUUUGAAAUCUUCGCCUGCUUGUAGUGGAGCUGAAUGAGUUCAGUGGUAAAUAUGCAACAAGUGCAAUGCCUGUUUCCGCUCUUUGUUCCCCUAGGAGUCAUUUAAACAAAACAAAUUCAGUGCACACUAAUAAAGAGGGUAGGUAGCUAUUGCAGCUUAAUAGCUUGGGCUCGACCAUUUUCCUUGGCAGGGAGUUGAGGGAAUGUUUCCAGCUAGGUUAUGAUAUCUUCAUCGUGCACUGUUAUCAAGGCUUGCAUUUCCUGGUGUCAAGCCACAGAGCUGGAGAUACGCUGCUCUUUCUGCACCAGGGCUAUCCAGAGUUGUAUGCUACGUAUGUGCUGCUCCACAAAGCCCUUUGUUAUUGCUGCAGUCUUCUCCACUGGCUUUCAAAAUAUUCUCCAAACAGAGCAGCUUCAUUUUAGCAAGAAGCAGGACAUAAUGAAUGAUCUAGUCUGGGCUGUACCCCAAGCCUGACACUGCUACCUGCUCUGCAUAGUGUGGUGACUCCUCAGCCAUGGCUCGCCGUGCACACGGGAGGUGAGGAGAGCAGCUGCAGAGCUAGAAACACAGCCAGGAUUUACAUGGUGAAUGAUGUUCUAUGCCUCGCUUCCUCUACCCAGCUCUUCUGCAAUUCUUGUGCUGAACUGGAGCAUGAACCUCUGACAAAUGGGACAGUGUCACCCUUCAUCUGCAAAUGAACAACUGUAUUUGGUGGGUUUUUUUUUACUAGUCUUUAGAAAAUGGUGCAAGAAACUAGAAAAAGAUCUGCAUACUGAGGAAAUAAUAGUAUAUGGUUUCCAAAUGCUUUGUGUCCAUAGCUCAGCAGCUCUGAGGUUUGUCUUCUUUUGGGGGUUCAUAGAAUAGAAUCAUAUAUUCGUUUGAAUUGGAAGAGUCUCUUAAGGGCCAUCUAGUCCAUCUCCCCUGCAAUGAACAGGGACACCUACAGCGAGAUCAGGUUGCUUGGAGCCCCAUCCAGCCUGACCUUGGAUGUUUCCAGGGAUGGGGCAUCCAUCACCUCUCUGGACAAACCUGUUCCAGUGCCUCACCACCAUUAUUGUAAAAAAAACUUCAUCCUUAUAUCCAGUCAAAAUCUCCACUCAUAGUCUGAAACCAUUUCUCCUAGUCCCCCCUCCUUGUAGAUGAAGCUUUGUCCUUCGACUGCCCAAGGUGGGAGCCUUCUCUGCAGCUGGGAACAUCAAUGAGAAGUUACUUAUGGCACCUCUACCUUCCUCUAACUUUUUAAGCAUAAUGAGCAUAUUGAAAUUUGAGACACUGAAAUUUGCUGGAGGGGUUGCUAAUUACUAGGAGUUGAAAAUGAGCUAGGUAAUGUGACAGUACAUCUUCAGGAAACUCUAACAUUGCUGAUUCACUUAGCAUCCUCUAACAGCUGCUGUUCCAGCUUCAACUUGCACAUUGUUUUUCUUUCUAGUUUGGUGUGAAUGCAUUCUCCUUUGCUAGAAGAUUGAUUAUCAAGAAAUCAUGCCUGAAAGAUUUUUAAUUUACCUUCGACAUCUAGAGGGAACUGAUGUUCAGACAUGCAAUAUGAUGAAGUACAGUCUAGUUUACAUCAGAAAACUGUUAAUCUUGCCAACUGGACCCCUAAUUAGAAAGAAGCAAAGCAUUUGCGGUGAGCGACAGAUUAACUGAGAAAUUCAGAUCAGAAUUAUUCAGAAUCCUGAGUCAAAUUCAGUCAAUAACUGAGCAGAAUUAAAAAGAUCUUGAAACGCAAGCAUAUAGAAUAUACUUUGAUGCUUAAUUGCUUAUUUCUACAGGCUUUUUAAAUUAUUUAACCUUUAGGAAAUUGAAUCAAACCAUUAUAAAAAUGGAACUCUUAGUUAUUUUGUCUCUGGUUUUGUUAAGAAAUAAAUGUUUGCUUCUGUAGUUUUGGUUCUGUCUAACAACAACAAAAAAAAAAGUAAUGAUAAUUAUGGUUUGCUCUCAAAGAUACUUUAUUAUGUGGCCAGUGUUACCACUAGUAACGUGUUCAAUUUUGCACACACUGGUGGCUAUUUUUUUAUGAUAAAAUCUAUACCUGAACUCUAAAGAUUAUUUCAGCUCUCAGAACAAUAGUACCUAAAAUGCUAUACAUUGAACCAUGCACUUUAGAGGCUGAUUUUAUGUGCCUUACCUUUUCAAGAGCCCCAGAUCAUUGAUUUAAGGAGAUCUGUGCAGUCCUCACUGCUACUGAAAGUAUCGUCAUUGCCAUUGCUGCUCACAUGUGGAUGUAGAGCCUGAAUUUUCAGCCUGGAAACUUAAAUACCUGCAGCACACUUCACAGCAUAUUUUUUUAAUUGUCUACUUAUUUGGCUGUACAACUACCCUGAGCCUCUCUGCAGAACCACUGUGUUUGCAGUUAUGAUUUUCAGUCACAUGAUGAUCAUCACAAAAGUCUAGCAAAGCAUUUUGCUCUGUACUAGUGAGGUGGUACAACUAGAUGUCAGUAUUCAGGAAGUUUAUGUUUCCGACAGUGACACUGGGUACAAGUCCCACUCUUUCCCCAACAACUUUGGCCAGUCAUGGUUGUGUUAGUGGAGAGGCUGCCUUACCAUAUGUCUCCAAAGUGGCUACUUCUCUCCCCUCUUGGUAGCCAGGUCCUGUCUCCAGUAUUGCUACUGAAAAUUAAAACAAGACCAUUCUUCUUUUCACUGUCCUCUCUUUGUGUAGGGCCAGCACCUGUUUGCACCAAAAUGUAGUGGAGCCCUUGAGGACAGGUGGUGAGACACAGAUGUGGGUGCUGCACCCUUAGGUGUGCUGAGACCUCACGUGGACAGAGACAAGUGAGGAGAAAGUAGUUAUGAGUGCUCAGGGUUUCCAUAGGGAAUAUGACUCCAGCAGUCUGUAGCACCUCCUGCAAAUUGCUGUAGCUAUUAGAACUCUGCCAUGGUGAAACUUGCUCUGUGGUGGUCUUCUGUCCUGCAACACAGACAUCAAUGGACUGCCUAUUCUGUCUUCAUAAAGGAACCUUGUUCUGCAGGGGACAUGAUGCAAAGAGUCUGAAAGCUUGAUAUAUCUGAAUGUCUUCCAACUUCGAUUCCCAGAAGUCUUGUUCUAAGAAAUAGUGUUGAAUAUACACACAGUACAAAGGGGUGCAGGGAGAGACUCAGCAGGAGAUGAGUCUCCCAGCAAAACAUCACCAGUCUUGGAGUAGCACAAUUAAAUAGCCUGCCUUGGGUCUUUUAACUCAAGUUGCAAAGAUUUCUUCUUUAGGAAAUCACAUUGCCUGGGAAAUGCAAUAACCUGAUGUGUGUUUGAUCAGCAACACUCUUUAGUCUAGAGGUUUAUUUUCCAGUCCUUGUGUGGUCAUGCAUAUGAAUUUCAGGAUGCAUUUAGGCCUAAGAGCCAGCUGAUGUUAGGAGUUCCCCCACUCACUACAACAACUGGAUAGUCUUCAUUUGCCAGUCUAGCAGCAAGAAAUACGAGCAAAACUUUCCCAUAUUCUUGAGCCCCCAAACUUUCCCCUUAGUCUGAGUUCACAGCAGCCAAUAGUCCCCAAGACUGUCAUUGCUUCCUGUUUGUUUAGGUUUAGACGUUCACAGACAUGCUUUGGGAAUUGACUGUAGCAGAGCCAAGUUGUGAAGUUUGCUGAAGGAAGUUCUGUGGUGGCAGAAGGAACUGGAAAAAUUUCUCCCUCUGCUUUCCCCAGCCUAGAUGAGGUAUUGACAAGUUCAGCAGAGCCAUUGGCCUCCAGCUGACUCUGUUCUGCUUCUUUUAAUAUCUUUAAACCUCAGCGUGAGGAACCAGACUCCAUACACAUUUGCUCUUGGGAAUAUUGUAACAAAAGCCAAUGCACUCCCCUGGAGAGGUUAAAGAACCACCUUGACAAGCAAGCAAAUUGGAAAAAUAAACUACAGCAAAAAAACGAGCGAAGGAAGAAGAGCACAAAUGUAUUAGUCAUCUCUUAAUUGCUCUUGGAGCCCAAUAUGUUUAACAUCCUGAAAUAGAAAGCCCAUCAGUUCAGUUCUGUACAUUAGCAAUUUAAAAAGAAAGUAAAGUAAGACCUCCUGAGAGUGGAGUCGUGUAUAUUUUCAUAUUGUCAAAUGAGUGCUUUUCCUGUUUACAAUCUCUCAACUUAAUCCUUGAUACUUUAUGAUAUUCAGGACUUCUAGACAAAUUCCAUUUUGGACAAGAGAGAAGUGUUUUUCUGGGCUUCCAGGAAAUGUAUUUCAUAUUGCAUGACCUAAGUGUGCCAACGUCCUGCUAAUGUAAGAACUCUUGUAUGUGAAUAACCCUGAGAGCUGUGCAAGAACUUUCAGACUUCAAUGUUUUCUUGCUUGGAAAUCUCCUUUUUGAAGCCUGUGUCUCAGAGAUGAGGGCAUCUAUAGAUCCAUUCAAUUCAGCAUAGCUAGAUUCUUUUGUCAAUAAAGUCUGUAUUUUUUCCUAAGCCAUUUACCAGGCCAACUACCCCUCUCCCUCUUGCACAGUGAAUGUAAUGGAAAUUGCCUAAGUGGGAACGUUUGGUUUGCACGUAAUAGACAAAGUGAUCUUCCCUACAGCUCUCUGGGGGCCAUCCUUUGUUCACAUUUCUUGGGUAUAUCAACUGUGCCAAAAGUUGCCAUCACCUGUCUCCUGUUAAAGAACAUUUCCCCUAAUACGUCUGUCCCCGUUUCCUUCCUCCCCAUGACUUCAUUCUUCUCUCAUUACUGCUUCAUGCACCGGUAUUACUUCAGUUCCUGGGUGCUAUUUCUUGGCCCUUCACGUAGAUGUGGUCAGCUCUGGUUCGGAAGCAUCAGAUACUUUCUGCAAGACAUGCUGAGGCUGUGAAGACAGCAUCCUUUUGAAAUCUGCUUGUGCACAAAUUAACGGUAGGCACAGUGCUGAUGCUGUGGGUUAUUGUGUGACCCAUAAUUUUGCUUGGCAUUGCUGACAUAACUGAUCCUACAGCAGUAAUCAAGCAGGUUUACAUUCUUUAAUGUGUUUCCCAUGAGGUGUUGCUCACAGUGAUAUUUUGGUGGUGGAGAAAAUUAUGUAUUGGAAAAAGCAUUGUGGUCAUAGUUACAUGGCAGAGAUUAAAUGGUACCAUGUUGAAGAACGGUUGUUGUGUGAAAAUAACCGAUACUUUAAACUGAAACUGUGUUUUUAACUAUUUUCUUUGAAAUUUAUAGCUAGUGCUUUAUUUAUUUUGCUGUGCAUUAAGACUCUUUGGCAGUAUGAAUUACUGUGAUUUUUAGAAGCACUUUCUAGCAGUGGAUUUAAAGGUCAUUCCAAGAGGGGCCAAACAGAUUACCAAGCCUUCUGAUUUCUGGAUCACCACUCUGCUCUUUCUAGUGGUUGCUCAAGGGUCCAUAAAUGCGCUGAAAUGGUGGCUCUGUUUUUAACAGAGAAAGAGCACGCACACCUGGAGCAAAAUCUAAAAUCAGAACUGGAGGUCUAAAAUCAGAUUUAGGAGUUCAGAUGAGUCUUCAGUUUUGGUCAAAAUCCUCGCUCUCCACUAUCAACACCACAGUGCUAUCAAAGGUAUUGGCAUUCCUUAUAAUUUCUAGCGCAGAAGCCAGCAGGACGUGAAGACAUUCAACCUCCAUAAGUUAAUCACUGCUUGGAGAAAACUUAGGUGAACAGUGCUUAAUGCUAUACCAGUUCCAGGAAGGAGAAGAAGGAUUUCAUUCUACAGUGUUCCCAGUCUCCAGGCACUUAAUAAGAGCUAAAUUCGCAUGCAGCAGUCUCUCAAAUGAGCUCAGCAGGGAGCGCUGGCAUUUGCAGCAUCUGCUGAGCUGACUUCCAGCCCUCCACUACCCGUGAACUUUAGUGGUAGCGGUGGGGACAGCAGGAACAUUGGUGUCAAAGGGAGGAAAUUCAGACAGAGUCUGUGGAAAGAGAUCUUCAGACACAGUUAUUUGUCAUGCUCGUUCUGUAAUCCUGUGUUGCUGAGAGCUAAUACUUAAAGCAAGGGUCACUGAUGGAGAAUGAAUGGGGUAAGGCAGUAUUUGAGGACUACCUGGGGAAGAGGAUCCCCACUGUCAACUCUGUACAGAGGGACCAAAGGAAAUUGAUUGUUUCUCAUUUGUUUCCUGGUGUAAUAUCCUAGGGCCGUGGACUCUCCCCUCAUUAUGUCAGGGUUACUGAUCUAGAGUCAGCUGUGAGCAAGGAAAGCUGCUGGAAGAAAAACGUUUUCAUUGGAAAUGCAGGAUAACCACAGCAUGCUGAGCUUCACUUUUGGAGCACUUCUUGGCUUUGGCAGUGCUGUUGAGCUGCAGUGAUGGAGGGAGUUAUCUCCUUGGUGUACCGCAUAGGAGAAUAGCCACGGGGCUCAAAAGAAUGGGUUUUAACAUCACUUUAAGCAAUGCCCCAGACACACAUGUAUUUUACAGUCUGUGACUGAGGGAAGUCUAUCACCUGGCCAUUUUGGUGAUGAUCUGUGCCUGCCUGAUGGCCACAACAACCAAAUGACAAGAUCUCAUCACAAACCAGUUGGGGAGAAUAGUGAUGUCAUUCCUAGUAGGGGGAAUACCAUGCUGAGACUCUGAUUUCCUGCUACAAGAAAAGGUCAGGAAAAGGCUUUCUUUUACAGAAGAGCAUUGGACCAAAUUCAGUACUGGGGUACAUUUACAGAAUGUCCCAUACCUUUGUAACUGGGCAGUUUUCUAACCUGAGAAAAGAGAGAAAAAGUCUUCCUGGGUAGGGACUCCUUCUAGCUGUCUAGAGUGACUGUGAAUUCUUUUGGUAUAGAGUUUAAGUUGUCCUUGGUAAUGUGUGGGGUUAUUUUUAUUAAUUUUACCUUCCUGCAGCACCUUCAAGAUGUCCAGUAGGUACAAACAGCAAGACUUGGCAGCAGGGAUGGGCAGGCGGCACUUUUUUCUUCUUUUAUUCAAUCUUUUUUAAGACACACUUCUCAGUAUUGAAUGGGCAGAAAUGUUGUUGUUUAUUGUAAACAACCCUAGAUGUGGAAUGUGGGAGAGUUUUCUGUGUGCAGCAAUGAAAACAUUCCUUUGCUAUGCGUAUGAAAAGUUUCCAAUAUACAUUGCUAAAAGACUUUUUAACUUUUUCUUUCCCUUUACAGCUUGUACCCCCAGGCUCUUUAGUAUUAACAAAAUCAACUUGUACUGAUAAAAUUUGAAUGCUCAUCUGCUUUUUAUCUGGGGGUAUCUAAGCUAUUUUGCGUGUCUACAGUGAUGACACGGAAGUAGAAAGGUCCUUGUUGAGAUGUGUGCUGAUGGGUUAAGUGUUUGGUAUGACUCUAGGGCAAACAAAUUACCAGUGCAAACUUCUGAAGCUCCAUAACAGAAUGUAAAUACCUAGAAAGACUGAAUACAGACUGUACACACAAGCUCUAGGGGUUAUGUUUGUUUUGUUUUCUAAGCCAAACCCAACUCCAUUUGAGCACAGUGAACUACAUAAAUUAUUUCUCUCUCCAAAUAACUAAACUUCAAAAAAAAAAAUCCUCUCCCAUCCCUAGCACAUACACACUCAGACCAGAUAGGUGCCCCCACAAACACGUGUGGGUCUCUGGGCAGAAGCGCAGUCCUUGCAGCGAGCCCCAUCCCCUACAGGAUGAAGCAGUCAACAUUGAGAUCUCCACUGAGCAGCACCCGCAGAGGGGAACUUGUUGCUAUUUCACUCUGCAGCUGAAGAAACACACAGUAGUGGCAGGGAGCCUUGGGGCAGCUGAUUUAAGGGUUGGUUUUGUAAGCUGUUCCUUACUAUCUGGCAUUCAUAAAAUUUACCUUGAAUAGCUGGUUUGUUGUAUUUUUUUCUUUCUGCUAACCAAUUAAAGUCCUACCAGAAGAGCAUCAUGCUGGCCAAACAUUUUCAGACCAUUUCUUGAGCUGCACCAGAUGGCACCCUCCAUGCUGCAGUCCAAUGGGUAGUGCUUUAUUCCCCACUCUAGUUAAGAUCUGCUCCACUCCUUUCCAAGGCACUCUGCUAACGCAAGCAGUAAAUUCUCUCCCCAGAGGGAGCUUCCCACCAUCCUCUGUUCUGUUCUGAACAAAUGAAGUAAGAUUAAAAGAGAAUAAUUGCUUCUGGGCAGUCAGUUCCUGACCAACCACGUGGUGAUUCCACGCACUUCGGACAGAAACUUUAAUGCAGAGUCGCUAAUCAACAUCAAACACAUGAACGUCAAUGGCUGAUAAAAUUUAAUUGGGUGUUUGUUUAAAAAUAUCGCAGGCAGUAUGUACUUGAAGCAUCAAAGGUUGGGUUUCAGAACUUCAGACAAUACUCUUGUUAAUGUUUUUGGGAAUUGCCAAUCUUCCAGGUCCCUUCCAUUCGUUCCCCUUAGCCCUGAAACUGUGUUCUACCCGUUCUUUGCUAACAGCAGAAGUUGGAAGGCAUGUGGUGAUUGAAGCAGGCAUUGGUAGAAGAGGAAAGCAGUCUCUAGCAGCUGAACGUGGUCCUAAAGAAAGGGAUUCCUUCCCAGCCUGAGCUAUAGAGCUCUGGUGAGGUGCUACAGGUGUUCCACUGCUCUUGGUCAUUCCCAUUCCUGUGCCCAUCUGCGAUCUGGUUUGAAUCAUUAAACCCUCAAAAUUUAAAUAGAAAUUGGCAGAACGUGCUCUAAAUACAUAACUUUGACCUUCCAAGAAGGCUACAUCUUCCUGUGUGUCUGUUGCCUCUCUGUAAAAUACGGGCAACAGAGCAUUUUCAGGGGGGGUUACAUAAGUUUGUUAAUACUUUCCAAGGACUUGGAUGCUGUAGUGCAGUGCAGAUGAGGCCAUGAGGAAAAGACAAAUUCUGUCCUCACCAUGGGGGCUGGACAGUAUGCCAUGAGGAAGGCCAACAGUCUCAUGCUGAGCUUUGACAAGAAGAAAACAGCAUAUUCAACGACUGCUGAUUAAGUGAGUACUUUUCUCUGCGUUAAAAUAAGGUAGGAAUGCCAGAGAAGAAGUCAUAUGUAGUAUCUUAUUGAAGACUAAUAACUCUUUCUGCAAAAGGAUUAAGGUGGGUGAUCUGCCUUAGCUUUCAGUGAGGGAUUGAAAGCUUUCAAAUGCUACCCACAAGCAUGUACUUUGAACUAAGACAAAGAAACAAUGCAAACAAAAACAGGAAAUCAGCUCUACGGAUUUUAUGUCUGUGUGAUUGGCCAGCUGGUGGAUGACGCAGCCCAACACGGACAAGUUGACAGCAGUGAUAGGUUGACCUUCUCUGGGUUGAUCGAUGCUAGGGGUGUGGGGCUCCUUUGCCAGGAGUUGGACAAAAGGUGAUUUGUCCCACUCCUUGCCUUAUGCUUGCCCUCAUCAUUUCUAGAUACCUCCUGUGGCCACGGUCUUGGGCUGUCAUCUGUCUACAGACAGACCUGGUGUCUCCUUUCUUCCCUCCCAUUACUACAAAAUGUCUACUCUAAUGACCUUUUGGCCUUGUACUUUUGGUGGGUUUUUGUGGUUGUUCCCCACCCCCAACCCAAUUUUAAAUUACUCUUUCCUUCAGUGAAGAAAUUGUCUAGCUGCAGAACAACAGGCAGCAUAGAGCAGCGGUUGCAAGGGAAAUCCCCUAACUUUCCGUUAAUUCCUGGCAGAGCACAUCCAAUAGGGAUGGUGCACGUGCAGUGUAGUCAGGUUUGGCCAAGUACAGUGGAUUUUCAGAAAAUGCUAAAUACACGUUUUUAGUAGAAGGGAUUUUCCACUAAUGGACAGGAAAAUCUUACUUUACAGAGAGGAGGGUGCUGGGAGUGUUUGAAAAACAACCACAUUGCAUCAUUUGACACAGAAAAUGAACAACUUCUGUCACCCUUGCCCUGCAGAAAUGGCCCAAAACUUAUGCUUUUGUGUGAAGGGUGUUCAGCAGCUGAUGGACUGCAGCUCUGCCUGCAGUAUCCUGCAUUCGUGUUGUCACUGGCAGCAGUGGCCUGAAGCUGUAGGAAGAUUUAAAACUGGUUAUUAGAACAACUUGACAGAGCCAGGAAGAAAACCUAGCAAGCGUUAACACCUGAAGGUGAACCUGCAUAUCCAAGAGCUCAUUUAUUUGAAUAUUGGCUGUGCCAUAAGAGCUACUGUGUCUCCGUACAGACCUUUCUAGCCUUCAGCAUGUUAAGCAGAGCGUGUUGGGCAUCACAGUGCUGCGGCCCCAUGGAUUAGGAGUGAGCUUGGAAGAGCAUAAAAGAAAUAUGCCCUGGUUAGUGUGGGGCUUGGAGGCUGAGGUCUGCUCUGAUACAGUAGAGCCAUGAGGGUGCCUCAUCUUCCCUACAGCUGCUGUGUUUCACCUGCCUGGGGCCAACCAGGAGCUCCAGGUAGCCUCCGCUCCAAGGAAAGUCUCCUGCAUUUAGAGGCCUAGGUGUUCUCCCACAGGUCCUAAGCACUGAGGAAUGCAGAGAUGAGAUGUAUCAAACUGACUCUCUUCUUUCCUGUUGCCUCAUGCAUUUCUCACUCCUCCUCCUGCCCAAAGAUAUGUCCCAUCACUAGCUCCUCCUGAGAAGAUCCCCAGCAGUUUCUGUUGUUCUGAUACAGCUGAUAAGAAAAAAAAGUCUUCAGAAGAAAAAGACCACAUUGCCUUCUCCCUGGUGGCAUUCUCACCAUAGAGAACUGACAGAUUACAAAUCACAGAGUAGGUGGCAAUAUCCCAUUGAAGAUCAGGUGAGACAAAAUCUUAAAAUGACAACAAAACUACAUAACAAGUAGUGGAGAAUUAGUGGGAUUCAGGAAUUUCUCUGCUCCUCACAGUCACCAAGCAUACAAUGCCAGGGAUCAUUUUCCUUGCGAUGCUGACUUUUGCAUUUGUCACUUGUUACCUUUUUCUUUGAAUGUGGUAAUCAGAAGUUUUUUAAAAAUCUACUUUUCCUCAGCCUUCUUUGAAAGCAAUCCUAAAUCAUGUUCUUGCUCACAGAUUCCCUGGUAAUUCAGGAAGAAAUGUAGGGUUUGAGUCCAUUGUUUAAGAAUUGCUAUAUAUAGUAUAACUAACAGCCAGAAGAAGAGGCUAUCAGCCUCUGCUAUAAGCUAACCCUGGUCUGGUUAGUGAAAUUCAGGAAUGAAGUUGAAUCUCUCAACUGUGCUCUUGUGAUCUGUACAUCCUAUAGGGGAGAACGUCUCAUUCAUUCCAGCAUCUUGCUCUCUUCAAAAUGCCUACAUCCUUAUUUUGCUGGAUGUAGGACGUAGACCUGUUGGAGCAUGUCCAGAGAAGGGCCACAAAAAUAUUUCAAAGGAUGGAACACAUCUCCUCUGAGGACAGGCUGAGAGAGCUGGGGCUGUUCAGCCUGGAGAAGAGAAGGCUCCAGGGAGACCUAAGAGCAGCUUUCAGUAUCUAAAGGGGGGCUGUAAGAAAGAAGAAGACAGAUAGGGCCUGUGGUGACAGGGUAAGGGGAAAUGGUUUCAAACUUAAAGAGGGGAGAUAAAGAGGUUGGAUGUAAGGAAAAAAGAUGGUGAGGCACUGGAAUAUGUUGCCCAGAGAGGU